This 75-nucleotide microRNA precursor is filed under the name Tetranychus urticae (two-spotted spider mite). RNAcentral's name for it is "mir-10 microRNA precursor family". It matches the Rfam family "mir-10 microRNA precursor family". From Rfam's summary of the family: In this case the mature sequence comes from the 5' arm of the precursor. The record is from Rfam by way of RNAcentral. Lineage: Eukaryota; Metazoa; Arthropoda; Arachnida; Trombidiformes; Tetranychidae.
CUACAUUCACCCUGUAGAUCCGAAUUUGUCAGAAAAUUGAUUUGCCACGAAUUCGGCUCUAGAGAGGUUUGUGUG